ACAAAAGACAUUAAUUCAGCUUGUAUUAAGUCGCCCAGAUUGAUAAAGUCGUGUAUAUAUACGGAGUGAAGACUAAUUUGAGCUUCUGCCAGAGUAGAGGUCCAGCCGGGCGUGAUGGGCGCCAAAACUUUAAUCGCACUCUUGGCUCUGGCGGUGACCUUGAUUGGCGGAAAUCCUAUCAAUGAAACGACAUCGAGCGAAGAAAUCAGCGAAGGCCCUCAGCCGGUGACAGAAGGAGGACCCACGACCUCGACAUCCUCAAAGCCGUUCGAGAAGGAUUUUAAAGAAAUGAAGAAAAAAGGAGAUAAGGUGGUUAAUGCCCAGCGCACCUACGGGAAGUGGAGACCUAAAGGACCUUUUGGAUAUUACGGUUUCUUUGAGGGUGAUAAAAAAGUUC
Long non-coding RNA from Penaeus monodon (black tiger shrimp), 397 nucleotides. RefSeq lists it as uncharacterized. The record is from RefSeq and is a predicted model, not a curated record. The transcript is spliced from 2 exons. Lineage: Eukaryota; Metazoa; Arthropoda; Malacostraca; Decapoda; Penaeidae.